This 228-nucleotide unclassified non-coding RNA is filed under the name soil metagenome. RNAcentral describes it as "partial contains small subunit ribosomal RNA, internal transcribed spacer 1, and 5.8S ribosomal RNA". The record is from RNAcentral.
UCUCCGUUGGUGAACCAGCGGAGGGAUCAUUACAGAGUUGCAAAACUCCCAACCCUUUGUGAAUCCUACCUGUUUCGUUGCUUCGGCAGGCGGCCCCAGGGCGUGGUCUUCAGCCUGUUUUUACAGGCGUCUGCCGGAGGAUUUUAAAACUCUUUAAUGCUCUCAGUGGCUCUCUGAGUUAAAAGACAAAAUAAGUCAAAACUUUCAACAACGGAUCUCUUUGUUCUG